RNAcentral lists this long non-coding RNA (508 nucleotides) under Trifolium pratense (red clover). Its description in RNAcentral is "long non-coding RNA (TPRA_LNC005030)". The record is from RNAcentral. Lineage: Eukaryota; Viridiplantae; Streptophyta; Magnoliopsida; Fabales; Fabaceae.
GAUUAAAGAUGCCCUUUGAAGGUAAAAUAAAUUUACAUUACAUCAUCUUUUGCUUUUCUCUUAAUCUUGUUGAUAUUUGUUUUCUAAUUUGUCUUAAUAAUUACAAAUUUCUGAGAUUUAUUCAACAUUGUAGUUUACAUCAUACUUUUAGAGAAGACAACGGGUGUGCAGAUUGGCUUGCCAAAAAGGGCGCUACCUCAAAUGUCUCUGAAGAUUUGGCAUAGUUAUUCCCUUAAGCUUAAUAAUGUUUUGAUAGCUUAUGCUUUAGGUGUUGUUCACCUUCGAGCCUAGCUUGUUUUUCUGUUUUGCUUUGCUUUGCAUUGCUUUUCUUUUUUGUUGUAUUAGAAACAAAGUUUUUUUAAUAUAAUCUAUAGUUAUUUUUAUGACUGGAUGAGAAGAGUUAUUAAACAUAGUAAUUUAUUUAUAUAAUUCCUAACGUUAUAAAUAUUCAUUGCAAAUAUGUUGUAUUCAUUAUAAAUAUUAGGGUUGUUCAAUGUUCAUUGCAAAU